Molecule: ribosomal RNA, 254 nt
Filed under: uncultured prokaryote
Description: partial 16S ribosomal RNA
Rfam family: Bacterial small subunit ribosomal RNA
Source: RNAcentral
UACGUAGGGGCCUAGCGUUGUCCGGAUUUAUUGGGCGUAAAGAGCUCGUAGGCGGUUUGGUAAGUCUGAUGUGAAAUCUCCACGCUCAACGUGGAGGCGCCAUCCGAUACUGCCAUGACUUGAGUCCGGUAGGGGAGUGUGGAAUUCCCGGUGUAGCGGUGAAAUGCGCAGAUAUCGGGAGGAACACCCGUAGCGAAGGCGGCACUCUGGGCCGGUACUGACGCUGAGGAGCGAAAGCGUGGGGAGCAAACAGG